CAUAGCCUUGUGGAUUGUGAGGUUUAAAGGGCCGCUAAUACAUACAAGGUGAGCCCUGCCCAAUGAGCGAGUGAAAACUUUAAUGGCCGCAGUACCCUGACUGUGCUAAGGUAGCAUAAUCAGUUGGCUUUUAAAUGGAGUCUGGAAUGAAUGGGUUAACGGGGGGAUGCUGUCUCUUAGGUGUUACAUAAAAGUUAGUGAUAGGGUGAAAAUACCCUAGAUUUUAGGAAAGACGAGAAGACCCUUAGAGUUUUUCUCAUGGUCGCCUUUCUGUCUAGCUCGGGAACGCACUUACAAGCGUAUGUGCGGAGCAGCUAGUUAUGCGGGCGUCAAGAGUUUUGUUGGGGCGACAAGGAAACAAAGUGGCAGAGCACUGCUCGCAAAGCCAAACUUUCUAGGAAAUACUUCGAUGUGCCGAAAAUAAGGCGGCCCGCCUAUUUGGGACGGGGAUGCAAAAGCUUAUUAAGAACAAGUAAACUACCUUAGGGAUAACAGCAUAAUUUAGUAUUAAGUUUGUGACCUCGAUGUUGGACUAGGGACCCCAAGGCUAGACGCCACACGGGCCGGUUCUGUUCGAACCGCCAUCCCUACAUGAUCUGAUUUUAAAAACCGGAGACCCC
RNAcentral lists this ribosomal RNA (620 nucleotides) under Melampus bidentatus. RNAcentral's name for it is "partial 16S ribosomal RNA". It matches the Rfam family "Bacterial large subunit ribosomal RNA", at positions 1814 to 2628 of the family's 2925-position model. Lineage: Eukaryota; Metazoa; Mollusca; Gastropoda; Ellobiida; Ellobiidae. The record is from RNAcentral.